UACGUAGGGGGCAAGCGUUGUCCGGAUUCAUUGGGCGUAAAGAGCGUGUAGGCGGCCAGGUAGGUCGGUUGUGAAAACUGGAGGCUCAACCUUCAGAGGUCGACCGAAACCAUCUGGCUAGAGUCCGGAAGAGGAGAAUGGAAUUCCUGGUGUAGCGGUGAAAUGCGCAGAUAUCAGGAAGAACACCCGUGGCUAAGGCGGUUCUCUAGUACGGUACUGACGCUGAGACGCGAAAGCGUGGGGAGCGAACAGG
RNAcentral lists this ribosomal RNA (253 nucleotides) under uncultured bacterium. RNAcentral describes it as "partial 16S ribosomal RNA". It matches the Rfam family "Bacterial small subunit ribosomal RNA", at positions 524 to 776 of the family's 1533-position model. The record is from RNAcentral.